AAAUUGAAGAGUUUGAUCAUGGCUCAGAUUGAACGCUGGCGGCAGGCCUAACACAUGCAAGUCGAACGGUAACAGGAAGCAGCUUGCUGCUUUGCUGACGAGUGGCGGACGGGUGAGUAAUGUCUGGGAAACUGCCCGAUGGAGGGGGAUAACUACUGGAAACGGUAGCUAAUACCGCAUAACGUCGCAAGACCAAAGAGGGGGACCUUAGGGCCUCUUGCCAUCGGAUGUACCCAGAUGGGAUUAGCUAGUAGGUGGGGUAA
Molecule: ribosomal RNA, 263 nt
Filed under: Escherichia coli
Lineage: Bacteria; Pseudomonadati; Pseudomonadota; Gammaproteobacteria; Enterobacterales; Enterobacteriaceae
Description: partial 16S ribosomal RNA
Rfam family: Bacterial small subunit ribosomal RNA
Source: RNAcentral